RNAcentral lists this non-coding RNA (30 nucleotides) under Rattus norvegicus (Norway rat). The record is from RNAcentral. Lineage: Eukaryota; Metazoa; Chordata; Mammalia; Rodentia; Muridae.
UACAACUAAUUCCUGAAGUCCAUAGUGCUU